AGUGAACGCUGGCGGUAGGCCUAACACAUGCAAGUCGAACGGCAGCACAGUAAGAGCUUCCUCUUACGGGUGGCGAGUGGCGGACGGGUGAGGAAUGCAUCGGAAUCUACUUUUUCGUGGGGGAUAACGUAGGGAAACUUACGCUAAUACCGCAUACGACCUACGGGUGAAAGCAGGGGAUCUUCGGACCUUGCGCGAUUGAAUGAGCCGAUGUCGGAUUAGCUAGUUGGCGGGGUAAAGGCCCACCAAGGCGACGAUCCGUAGCUGGUCUGAGAGGAUGAUCAGCCACACUGGAACUGAGACACGGUCCAGACUCCUACGGGAGGCAGCAGUGGGGAAUAUUGGACAAUGGGCGCAAGCCUGAUCCAGCCAUACCGCGUGGGUGAAGAAGGCCUUCGGGUUGUAAAGCCCUUUUGUUGGGAAAGAAAAGCAGCAGGUUAAUACCCCGCUGUUCUGACGGUACCCAAAGAAUAAGCACCGGCUAACUUCGUG
RNAcentral lists this ribosomal RNA (492 nucleotides) under uncultured bacterium. RNAcentral describes it as "partial 16S ribosomal RNA". It matches the Rfam family "Bacterial small subunit ribosomal RNA", at positions 29 to 507 of the family's 1533-position model. The record is from RNAcentral.